This 265-nucleotide unclassified non-coding RNA is filed under the name air metagenome. RNAcentral describes it as "partial contains small subunit ribosomal RNA, internal transcribed spacer 1, and 5.8S ribosomal RNA". The stretch from base 1 to 46 matches the Rfam family "Eukaryotic small subunit ribosomal RNA", at positions 1786 to 1831 of the family's 1831-position model. The record is from RNAcentral.
AAGUCGUAACAAGGUUUCCGUAGGUGAACCUGCGGAAGGAUCAUUAAUGAAUUGAUAGGGAGUUGAUGCUGGCUGCCCUCCGGGGUAGCAUGUGCUCGCUUCCGACAAUCUUAUCCAUACACCUGUGCACACAUGUGAGGGGGGAACUGAAAAGUCCCUUCUUAUUAUUAUUAUACAUACACCAAAUUAGGAAAUCGCACGUGACUUGCGUCGUAUGGCGCUUAAAAAUGAAAUACAACUUUUAACAACGGAUCUCUUGGCUCUC